GAUGAACGCUGGCGGCGUGCCUAAUACAUGCAAGUCGAGCGAACAGACGAGGAGCUUGCUCCUCUGACGUUAGCGGCGGACGGGUGAGUAACACGUGGAUAAGCUACCUAUAAGACUGGGAUAACUUCGGGAAACCGGAGCUAAUACCGGAUAAUAUAUUGAACCGCAUGGUUCAAUAGUGAAAGACGGUUUUGCUGUCACUUAUAGAUGGAUCCGCGCCGCAUUAGCUAGUUGGUAAGGUAACGGCUUACCAAGGCAACGAUGCGUAGCCGACCUGAGAGGGUGAUCGGCCACACUGGAACUGAGACACGGUCCAGACUCCUACGGGAGGCAGCAGUAGGGAGUCUUCCGCAAUGGGCGAAAGCCUGACGGAGCAACGCCGCGUGAGUGAUGAAGGUCUUCGGAUCGUAAAACUCUGUUAUUAGGGAAGAACAAAUGUGUAAGUAACUAUGCACGUCUUGACGGUACCUAAUCAGAAAGCCACGGCUAACUACGUG
Molecule: ribosomal RNA, 497 nt
Filed under: uncultured bacterium
Lineage: Bacteria
Description: partial 16S ribosomal RNA
Rfam family: Bacterial small subunit ribosomal RNA
Source: RNAcentral